This 453-nucleotide ribosomal RNA is filed under the name Triticum aestivum (bread wheat). RNAcentral's name for it is "partial small subunit ribosomal RNA". The record is from RNAcentral. Lineage: Eukaryota; Viridiplantae; Streptophyta; Magnoliopsida; Poales; Poaceae.
AUGGGCACCAACGCCUACUUCACAUACACUGUAGUCGGCUUUUAUGGCUCCAGCACGCUCUCCUACUGCAAGGCACUCGCCGUGGUCUUCAUCGAGGGCCUCGUGUUUAUCCUCAUCUCUGUCAUUGGGCUGCGGUCCAAGCUCGCCCAAUUGAUCCUCAAACCCGUGUGGAUCAUGUCAUCUGCGGGGAUCAGGUUGUUUCUGGGGUUCAUCAGGAUGCAGAGCAACCAACGAUUCUGGCUCGUCGGCAUCAGCAUGUCCACGCUGGUCACGCUCCGCGCAUGCCCCACGUCGCGGCGCAUGUCCAUGGCGCGGUGUUUACGUUCACAACAACAUGGUGGCGCUCAUGCCCGGCGGCUCGGUCUUCGGCGACGUACUUUGCCUGUUCGGCUGGAUGACCUCCCUAACCUUCUGACCAUACUAAAAUGGAAUUGGAAGAUUUUAUUUUUUUAA